CUCUGGCAAAGGUCGUCCAACAUGGACCACAGCUGGUUGACUUGCUGGAGAACAUCUCCUGGGACGCCGCCGGCCGACAUUACCAACCCAAGACAGUCAGAGUUGGUAGAAAGAUCCAUCCGAGGAAUUUGGCCACCUUGGUGUAGACUCCAGGAUGGUUAGGCUCGGCGCAGCCGUUCCCCCAGCUGACCACCCCCAUCAGCCUCCACACGUUCUCAUCCUGGCACACUAGAGGCCCGCCACUAUCCCCCUGCAACGCAAAUAUCAUCCAUGACCCACUGAUCCUGUCUUGGAAACAUCAAAACAAGGUUCACUUUAUGCCAACACCGGGCCAUGGAGAAGGUGACUAAAGGACACCAUGGCAUGGUGUUAAAAGUAUUACGCAAACAUGGUGUGUGUGUUAAGGCAUAAAGAAACUGCUGCCAGCACUUGUAAUUAAGAGGUCUGCCUGAGCUUUGCCACUCUCACUGUGCUGCACAUAGAGCUUUGGGAGUCCCGCCACUCUCAUUUUGAGCUCCUUCCACAUCUGGAUUAAGACGCAGGCCAGCUGCGGCUCCGGCACGGUGCCAUCAGGGGUCAGCACAGAGUCUGGAAUCAUUUCAGCCCACAUGACACAAAUAAAUAAGCCACUGGGAAGGUUUGUGGCCGGAGCCAAUAAAGUGUUAAGAGGGAAUUGCCCGGCGUGACGAUGGCAAAAGCUGUGAAAGUCCCAAUGUUGACGCUGAAUUAGUAAAGCUACUGCAGUGGCUGAUGGAUUCUACACAAUGAAAUGAAAAUGAAGGUAACAUUUAGGUGGA
Long non-coding RNA from Syngnathus acus (greater pipefish), 797 nucleotides. RefSeq lists it as uncharacterized. The record is from RefSeq and is a predicted model, not a curated record. The transcript is spliced from 3 exons. Lineage: Eukaryota; Metazoa; Chordata; Actinopteri; Syngnathiformes; Syngnathidae.